RNAcentral lists this ribosomal RNA (450 nucleotides) under uncultured bacterium. RNAcentral describes it as "partial 16S ribosomal RNA". It matches the Rfam family "Bacterial small subunit ribosomal RNA", at positions 354 to 796 of the family's 1533-position model. The record is from RNAcentral.
GUGGGGAAUUUUGGACAAUGGGCGCAAGCCUGAUCCAGCAAUGCCGCGUGCAGGAAGAAGGCCUUCGGGUUGUAAACUGCUUUUGUACGGAACGAAACGGUCCGGGUUAAUACCCUGGGCUAAUGACGGUACCGUAAGAAUAAGCACCGGCUAACUACGUGCCAGCAGCCGCGGUAAUACGUAGGGUGCAAGCGUUAAUCGGAAUUACUGGGCGUAAAGCGUGCGCAGGCGGUUUUGUAAGACAGGCGUGAAAUCCCCGGGCUCAACCUGGGAAUUGCGCUUGUGACUGUAAGGCUGGAGUGCGGCAGAGGGGGAUGGAAUUCCGCGUGUAGCAGUGAAAUGCGUAGAUAUGCGGAGGAACACCGAUGGCGAAGGCAAUCCCCUGGGCCUGCACUGACGCUCAUGCACGAAAGCGUGGGGAGCAAACAGGAUUAGAUACCCUUGUAGUCC